This 92-nucleotide transfer RNA is filed under the name Clostridia bacterium. RNAcentral describes it as "tRNA-Ser". It matches the Rfam family "tRNA". Rfam says of the family: Transfer RNA (tRNA) molecules are approximately 80 nucleotides in length. Their secondary structure includes four short double-helical elements and three loops (D, anti-codon, and T loops). The record is from RNAcentral. Lineage: Bacteria; Bacillati; Bacillota; Clostridia.
GGAGAAGUCGCUUAGCUGGUCGAGGGCGCACGACUGGAAAUCGUGUAGGCGUUAAUAGCGCCUCGUGGGUUCGAAUCCCACCUUCUCCGCCA